GGUUGUAUAGUGUAGCGGUUAGCACAUCGGAUUCUGAUUCCUGAUCGGAUUAGAAAUUUCCGGUAACCCCGGUUCGAUUCCGGGUACGACCU
Verruconis gallopava is the source of this 92-nucleotide transfer RNA. It matches the Rfam family "tRNA". Rfam says of the family: Transfer RNA (tRNA) molecules are approximately 80 nucleotides in length. The record is from Rfam. NCBI's taxonomy places the organism in Eukaryota, Fungi, Ascomycota, Dothideomycetes, Venturiales, Sympoventuriaceae.